RNAcentral lists this ribosomal RNA (377 nucleotides) under uncultured Chloroflexota bacterium. RNAcentral's name for it is "bacterial SSU rRNA". It matches the Rfam family "Bacterial small subunit ribosomal RNA", at positions 521 to 896 of the family's 1533-position model. Lineage: Bacteria; Bacillati; Chloroflexota. The record is from RNAcentral.
UAAUACGUAGGGGGCAAGCGUUGUUCGGAUUUAUUGGGCGUAAAGGGCAUGUAGGCGGAUAAGAAAGUCCACGGUGAAAGAUCUCGGCUCAACCGAGGGGUAUUCGUGGAAACUUCUUGUCUUGAGGGCAGCAGAGGCGAGUGGAAUUCCCGGAGUAGCGGUGAAAUGCGUAGAUUUCGGGAGGAACACCAGUGGCGAAGGCGACUCGCUGGGCUGUUUCUGACGCUGAGGUGCUAAAGCGUGGGGAGCGAACCGGAUUAGAUACCCGGGUAGUCCACGCCCUAAACGAUGGACACUAGGUAUGGGGGGCACCGACCCCUUCCGUGCCGAAGCUUACGCGUUAAGUGUCCCGCCUGGGGAGUACGGCCGCAAGGCUA